Non-coding RNA from Sturnus vulgaris (Common starling), 405 nucleotides. The record is from RefSeq and is a predicted model, not a curated record. Lineage: Eukaryota; Metazoa; Chordata; Aves; Passeriformes; Sturnidae.
UCAUGGCAAUCGUCAGUAGUGCAGUUGACCAGUCUUGUACAGAUGCCCCCACACACACUGUGGUAACUGAUGUGACCUGUAUGGUAGGACUGCAUUAAAAAAUUUUUAGAAGUUCUAACCAGUAUAGUAUGAAGAUUAAACUACCACUAAUCAAGACAGGAAGGAAUGCAGCCUGUUAGUAGUUUAUCAGGAUCUAAAGGGACACGAGAGAAAAGGAAAAAAGAUCCUACAUAGAACAAGUUACAUCCAUGGAUCAUAAACCAUGAAAUAGACCAUAAAAGUGGUAUUACAUAAAUCACGCUGCUGAUUUUUCCAAGCCUGCUGCUAGGAUUUGCUGCAUACUAUUCACCUGGAGAGAAUGGUCUGUUGGGAAUUCCUGACUACUUUGGAAAUACUUCAGAUGUA